CGUACGUGACUGGAGGUCAAAGAGUAGAAGCUGUGCAUGCAAAGACACUUACCGAAAAGCCCCUUUUUCUUGAGUUUCUGCUUCAAUAAUUUGAAAUCAAUAUUGCACCAUGAAACAGCACAAAUUAUCAACCAAAAAACGCCUAACAAAACCGCUUCUCUUUGGUACACUGAUCGCAGGACUGGCGACAGCUUUCUUCAAUAGGCACCUGUUCUUUGAAGACGUGGAAGAGAUUCGAACCCAGGAACGAGUUCGUAAUAAUGCCAAGCGCUUAGAGGUGUUAGAAAGGAGACAGAAACAAAUGGAAGAGCUGGCAGAGAAGAAAAGUGGAGACAGGUGAGAUUGUCAGACACCUUUGAUGUAAAAGCAUAUCAGCUCACCUGUUUUGGAAGCUGGAGGAAGCAUUGUCUCAGCCAGACCAAAGCCUCUAGCAUCAUAUGUAUUCUCCUCUUCUGAGAACUGUUGUUUAAUGAGCAAAAUCUGCCUUACACGUGGUAAAAGGAAAGUACCCUUGCAGCUGAAGUCUAAAGGACACCUAAGUUUUUGUGCAUUUAAAUGUAUUCACUGGUGUGUGGACAUCUUCAAUCACCUGCCUAUCAAAAACACACUCCGCCACCGGUCGAUUGAAGUUCUCGAUAUAAAUAUGCCAAAUGGAGCUUACCAAUAAGAGAAAAGUGUUACUGUGUUUUUUCUAAACACAGGAGAAUGUUGGAUUGUAAUUUUUAAAAUUUAAGAAGUGUGUAUAAGAGUGUAAAUAUGAUUUUCUUGUCACAGUAACCAUUGCUCAGUAAAUAAAAAACAAAUAUUUGUG
Trichomycterus rosablanca is the source of this 811-nucleotide long non-coding RNA. RefSeq lists it as uncharacterized. The transcript has 2 exons. NCBI's taxonomy places the organism in Eukaryota, Metazoa, Chordata, Actinopteri, Siluriformes, Trichomycteridae. The record is from RefSeq and is a predicted model, not a curated record.